GAUGAACGCUGGCGGCGUGCCUAAUACAUGCAAGUCGAGCGAACGGACGAGAAGCUUGCUUCUCUGAUGUUAGCGGCGGACGGGUGAGUAACACGUGGAUAACCUACCUAUAAGACUGGGAUAACUUCGGGAAACCGGAGCUAAUACCGGAUGAUAUUUUGAACCGCAUGGUUCAAAAGUGAAAGACGGUCUUGCUGUCACUUAUAGAUGGAUCCGCGCUGCAUUAGCUAGUUGGUAAGGUAACGGCGUACCAAGGCAACGAUGCAUAGCCGACCUGAGAGGGUGAUCGGCCACACGGGAACUGAGACACGGUCCAGACUCCUACGGGAGGCAGCAGUAGGGAAUCUUCCGCAAUGGGCGAAAGCCUGACGGAGCAACGCCGCGUGAGUGAUGAAGGUCUUCGGAUCGUAAAACUCUGUUAUUAGGGAAGAACAUAUGUGUAAGUAACUGUGCACAUCUUGACGGUACCUAAUCAGAAAGCCACGGCUAACUACGUG
This 497-nucleotide ribosomal RNA is filed under the name uncultured bacterium. RNAcentral's name for it is "partial 16S ribosomal RNA". It matches the Rfam family "Bacterial small subunit ribosomal RNA", at positions 28 to 507 of the family's 1533-position model. The record is from RNAcentral.